This 88-nucleotide unclassified non-coding RNA is filed under the name Azotobacter beijerinckii. The record is from RNAcentral. Lineage: Bacteria; Pseudomonadati; Pseudomonadota; Gammaproteobacteria; Pseudomonadales; Pseudomonadaceae.
AGGAGCCGUAUGCGGUAGUUCCGCACGUACGGAUCUGUGCGGGGGUGGCAGGUAAGUGCCCUACAAAAAGUCAGGUUUCAACCCUUGC